Molecule: long non-coding RNA, 210 nt
Organism: Quercus lobata
Lineage: Eukaryota; Viridiplantae; Streptophyta; Magnoliopsida; Fagales; Fagaceae
Exons: 3
Source: RefSeq, a predicted model, not a curated record
GCGAUCAGGCUUCCCCACUCUUCCUCGAGUCUCCAUCAGUCGUCGUUGGUUCCCGCCGCCGCUGAUUACAGAUAUGCAGGCACUAGAUAGAGUGCGGCCUGGACCCGAUGUGGAUACCCAGUUGUCCCAGCAGCCGAAUCAUCGGUCAAGUCCGCUUUGGAGGUGCGCCGCUGACGAGGAGGCGCCUGGCAUGAUAAAGGUUCGACGCCG